RNAcentral lists this ribosomal RNA (303 nucleotides) under uncultured bacterium. RNAcentral describes it as "bacterial SSU rRNA". It matches the Rfam family "Bacterial small subunit ribosomal RNA", at positions 211 to 507 of the family's 1533-position model. The record is from RNAcentral.
UUUAUCGGUGAUGGAUGGGGAUGCGUCUGAUUAGCUUGUUUGGCGGGGUUAAACGGGCCCACCAAGGCAACGAUCAUAGGGGGUUCUGANAGGAAGGUCCCCCACAUUGGAACUGAGACACGGGUCCAAACUCCUACGGGAGGCAGCAGUGAGGAAUAUUGGUCAAUGGGCGAGAGCCUGAACCAGCCAAGUAGCGUGCAGGAUGACGGCCCUAUGGGUUGUAAACUGCUUUUAUAAGGGAAUAAAGUGAGCCUCGUGAGGCUUUUGCAUGUACCUUAUGAAUAAGGACCGGCUAAUUCCGUG